This 253-nucleotide ribosomal RNA is filed under the name uncultured bacterium. RNAcentral describes it as "partial 16S ribosomal RNA". It matches the Rfam family "Bacterial small subunit ribosomal RNA", at positions 524 to 776 of the family's 1533-position model. The record is from RNAcentral.
UACGAAGGGGGCUAGCGUUGCUCGGAUUGACUGGGCGUAAAGGGCGCGUAGGCGGUUCGUACAGUCAGACGUGAAAUUCCUGGGCUCAACCUGGGGGCUGCGUUUGAUACGUGCGGACUUGAGUGCGGAAGAGGGUCGUGGAAUUCCCAGUGUAGAGGUGAAAUUCGUAGAUAUUGGGAAGAACACCGGUGGCGAAGGCGGCGACCUGGUCCUUGACUGACGCUGAGGCGCGAAAGCGUGGGGAGCAAACAGG